CACACCGCCCGUCGCUCCU
Molecule: non-coding RNA, 19 nt
Filed under: Arabidopsis thaliana (thale cress)
Lineage: Eukaryota; Viridiplantae; Streptophyta; Magnoliopsida; Brassicales; Brassicaceae
Source: RNAcentral